Molecule: long non-coding RNA, 455 nt
Filed under: Panax ginseng (ginseng)
Lineage: Eukaryota; Viridiplantae; Streptophyta; Magnoliopsida; Apiales; Araliaceae
Description: long non-coding RNA (PGIN_LNC002077)
Source: RNAcentral
UUAUAGGUUUUAUAUGCUGUAUAGACUGAUAGGAUUAUGUGUUUAAGUUAUUUUAUAACGGUGAUGAUAUUAUUCUAAUAUUGGAGAUCUAUAUUAUUAAUAUUAGGUCUUCAGGAGAAGCGUAUUAUAUUGCGUUACGGUAAUCAACGGUUCAGGCAAGUUUUUCAAGUUCUUUUUACUUAAACUCUUUUAAGAGUGGUUUCAGACAGAUAUGCUUAUGAAUUGUACUCUGUACAUAUUGCAUGUAUUCAUCAGGUAUGAAAGGCUGAUCACCUUCAUUACCAGUCAGUUCAGAUAUAAUUGUUAUGUUCAUUUUCAAUGUUCAUUCAGCUUUGAAAUUUUGUUCAUGCUAAUUCACAACUACAUUGUGAAGGUAGCCAGCUUAUUAUUCAAACUCUUUCAAUCAUGAUAUAUCUUUACCUUGUUUUUUUUUAAACUUGAUGGGCAACUUUCAU